Non-coding RNA from Pelobates cultripes (western spadefoot toad), 140 nucleotides. NCBI's taxonomy places the organism in Eukaryota, Metazoa, Chordata, Amphibia, Anura, Pelobatidae. The record is from the annotation of a GenBank genome assembly.
GGAUGGAACGGAUUUGAGAUGGGUGGUGAAAUGCAUGCGGAGGCGCCCUCAACACACACGUGUGUGUUGAAGGCAACAUGUGUGUGUUGAGGGCGCCUCCGCAUGCAUUUCACCACCCAUCUCAAAUCCGUUAUUAGAAG